Long non-coding RNA from Biomphalaria glabrata, 1240 nucleotides. RefSeq lists it as uncharacterized. The transcript is spliced from 5 exons. The record is from RefSeq and is a predicted model, not a curated record. NCBI's taxonomy places the organism in Eukaryota, Metazoa, Mollusca, Gastropoda, Planorbidae.
ACCCUAUAAACAAAGCCCCAUGGAAACCAUUCUGGCGCGGUGUGGGGUAAUAAGGUUUCAUUGGGUAGAUUGACCUACUUACAAUCGCCCCUAUAAAAACGUUAACGGAUCGGUGUGGGAUUUUAGUUAUUGGGCCGUUAACGUCUUUCCGCUUUCGUGCCGGUGUGGGAUUUCCCCAAUCACGCCAGAACCAACAUGAUGAAAUCUUUAUUAUAACAUAAAAAACAAUAUUAUGAUGUUUUAAAAUGUAGUAUUAAUCGUCUUAAAGCUAAAUGUUGCUUUGAAUCCUUUUUGUAAGUAAUAUUAAGAUUUAAAAAAAAAAUUAAUUAGGGUUCUAUUGGGGAAAUCCCUAACUGGAAUAGUGAAGUUUUACCCGUAUGGGCCCAAUGCAGACUUUUCGUAAUCAAAUAGUGUGUGUGUGUGUGUCUGAUUUUUUAAUGUGCACACUAAAAAAAUAUAUCUAUAUCUAGUAAUAUUUAAUCACACAUAGAAUCUAAAGUUAAAGGAGAACAUAUUUGUUUUUUUGUUGUUUUUUUUUUAGAUUUAGAUUUUAAAAAAAGUUUUAUACAUUUUAACAUUUUUUUCGACCAAUGAAAAAGAAGCAUUUAUUUCUUUUAAGCUCGCGAUAUUCGGCACAAACUGGAUUAUUCAGUCUUCACUCUAGAGCGUACACACGUGGAUCAAAUUAGAGCUAGCUAGAUCUAGAUCUAAAUCUAGUUGAAGAUAUCUACUUGGUAGUCUAAACCUCAAAAGAGCUUAGGGAAGUGAUGGCAGUUGCAGGGUAUGAACCAGACGACCAUGCAGAGACCAACGAGGCGACCAAACAGUCCAUCGUGCAUACCACAUAACCAGGUCCAGAAUGCCAGUUUUCUUUAAGGGCAGCUGACAAUAAGAAUUGUCUAUGUAUGCACUACAGAGGCUGUUCAAUAUCUUUUCAUGAGGAAGCCUGCUCAAAAAGAUCGCCACAUUUUCUUUAGGGGAAGUUGACAUUAAUCUUUUAGGUUAAUAAUAACCUAUGAAUGCAGUACAGAUGCUGUUCAUCAUCUUUUCAUAAGCAAGCCUGCUCAAGAAGCUGCUGCAUGGAAGUCAAAAUAUGAAUUAUUGCCACCAGUCUUGAAGUCAGCUUGUAAAGAAUGCUGAGAAUUGAAUGAAAAUGCUGUCUUGAUAUCUUGUUUGUGCUGUUAUAUUUGUCUUUUGUGUUGGUUAAUUAUUCCAUGAAUAAAAAAUAAAAAAAAGUUAA